GAGCCACUCAGGUGCCCCUGAAUUUUGUUGUUUUAUUGAAAAUAUGUUGCAUACAGUUAGCAAGCAGCUUCAUUAAAUCAUCAUAGACAUCACAAAGGCUGGUGCAGGCAGAAAAUUCAUCAUUCUCUAGGGAGAAAAUAUAAUCCAGUAUAUUCUAAUGUAAUAGCUAUUGUGUUGGGAACAGGAAGAGAAUGUGGUUUUAAAACCGAACAGAACUGCCUCGUAAUUAGCUAUGACUCCCUAAUUUCUGAUCGGUGAAUUGGGAAUAGUCAUACCUGCAUGUAGAAAGCGUUACUAUUAUUCCCCAAUAUCUGGUUCUCUACUUCUGAACACGGGAGGGGGCUGUAGUUCUCUGUUCUCUUGAAGUCGGGUUUGUCCACGUGAUUGUUUUGGCCAAUGAGCCCUGGGUGAAAGUAUCCUGUGUUAUUUCCGAGUGGAAGCAUUGACUAGUCAAUGUUGGGGUCUCAUCACACUGUUUUCCCUGACCCAGACAUCGUGGAAUCAAUGUUGACAUGGAGGGUCCCUAUGGAAUCCUGGGCCAGCGUGUGGGUUGGUUCUCAGACCCAAAGCCACGUCUGUGAGUGACAAAAACUAUUCAGGUAAAACUCUGAGAUUUGAGAGUGUGUGUUACCGCAAUACAUUCCGGCCUAUCCUGACCAUAGACUCUUCACGGAGUCAUCACCAGGAUUCAAGAAGAUUAUGAAAAUAUCUAGCGCACUUGCUGCAAUAAAGAUCAGCUACCAGGGGAGCUACAUAUGAAUGAAGCACAGAAAAUACUCCAUAGGUGAGGUUCCCAACACAUGGUGCUGGGAAAACUGGAUAUCCACGUGCAAAAGAGUGACAUUGGAUGCUUACUUAACACCGCAUACAAAAAUUAACACCGCAUGUAUCACAGCCCUAAAUAUAAGAGCUGUAACUCUAGACCUCUUAGAAGAAAACACAGAGGGAGAGCUGCAGAACACUGGUUUUGAUCGUGAUUUCUUGGAUAGGACACCAAAGGCAUAGGCAACAAAAGAAGAACAAGGCAACUUGGGCUCCAUCAGAAUUUUUAAAAAUGUAUGUCAAAGGACACCAUGGACAGAGUGACAAGGCAAGUCAUAGAACGAGAGAAAAUAUUUGCAAAUCACACAUCUGAUAAAGGAUUGAUACCCGGAAUGUCGAAAGAACCUCUUUUUUCUUUUAGUUUUUUAAAGGUUCAUUUACUUAUUUAUUUUGAGACACCGAGAGAGAGAGAGAGAGAGAGAGAGCGCGAGCAGGAGUGGGGGAGGGGCAAAGAGAGCGAGAGCGAGAAUCCCAAGCAGGCUCCACACUGUCCGCGCUGUCCUUGCUGUCCUUGCGGUCAGCGUGGAGCCCGACACGGGACUCAAACUCAUGAACUGUGAGAUCAUGACCUGAGCUGAAGCCGAGAGUUGGCAGUUUAACUGAUUCAGCCACCCAGGCGUCCCAGAAUGUAGAGAGAGCUUCUAACACUCAACAACAGAAAUCAACCCAGUUUAAAAAUGAGCACAGGAUGUGAACAGACAUUUCUCCGAAGGAGAUAAACGACCAAUAACCACAUGAAAACAAGCUAAAAGCCAAAGAAUCUACGUUCCCGCUCCAAGGGGGAAGGAAGAGCGUUCGUCAUUCUCUGAGUUUCUCCUAGGCCCCCAAACACCCGAUAACAUCUAAGAAGAGCCAGAUCCCAAACAUGUUCUAGGACAUCAGCUUCAAACAAACCUCAGCCAAGAUUCCUGGAGGAACACGUUCCCUGGACCCUCUUCCAAAUAACCCCCCAGCCCCAAGUGACGACAGGACUCAUUCUCCAUUCCUUUCCGUGUCUCCCAGACAUUCUGUCUGGUAUUUUCCGUCACACUUUUCGAUAAACUCUGUUUUCACUUUC
This is a long non-coding RNA of Felis catus (domestic cat), 1879 nucleotides long. RefSeq lists it as uncharacterized. The transcript has 2 exons. NCBI's taxonomy places the organism in Eukaryota, Metazoa, Chordata, Mammalia, Carnivora, Felidae. The record is from RefSeq and is a predicted model, not a curated record.